CCUCGCAGUACGUAGCACGGCGAGUGAGCGGGAAGAGCUCAAAUUUGAAAUCUGGUAGCCUUCGGUUGCCCGAGUUGUAAUCUAGAGAAGUGUUUUCCGUGCCGGCCCAUGUACAAGUCCCUUGGAACAGGGCGUCAUAGAGGGUGAGAAUCCCGUCCUUGACAUGGACCCCCGGUGCUUUGUGAUACACUUUCAACGAGUCGAGUUGUUUGGGAAUGCAGCUCAAAAUGGGUGGUGAAUUCCAUCUAAAGCUAAAUAUUGGCGAGAGACCGAUAGCGAACAAGUACCGUGAGGGAAAGAUGAAAAGCACUUUGGAAAGAGAGUUAAACAGUACGUGAAAUUGUUGAAAGGGAAACGAUUGAAGUCAGUCAUGCUCUUAGGAUUCAGCCGUUCUGCGGUGUAUUUCCUUUGAGUGGGGUCAACAUCAGUUUUGAUCGAUGGAUAAAGGCACGAGGAAGGUAGCACUCUCGGGUGAACUUAUAGCCUCGCGUCAUAUACAUUGAUUGGGACUGAGGAACGCAGCAUGCCUUUAUGGCCGGGAUUCGUCCACGUACAUGCUUAGGAUGUUGACAUAAUGGCUUUAAACGACCCGACUUGAAACACGGACC
RNAcentral lists this ribosomal RNA (608 nucleotides) under Naganishia adeliensis. RNAcentral's name for it is "partial large subunit ribosomal RNA". It matches the Rfam family "Eukaryotic large subunit ribosomal RNA", at positions 73 to 667 of the family's 3401-position model. The record is from RNAcentral. Lineage: Eukaryota; Fungi; Basidiomycota; Tremellomycetes; Filobasidiales; Filobasidiaceae.